GCCACUCAGAGGGAGAGGGACAGCUGACAACAACCACGACAAACAACACCCACAAAAUCAGGGAUGGACCAAUCUCUGUUCCUCAUCCUGUUGUUCUCAGGGCUGUCCAUCCUCCCCUCAU
This is a non-coding RNA of Salmo salar (Atlantic salmon), 121 nucleotides long. NCBI's taxonomy places the organism in Eukaryota, Metazoa, Chordata, Actinopteri, Salmoniformes, Salmonidae. The record is from RefSeq and is a predicted model, not a curated record.